UGGCGGCAGGCCUAACACAUGCAAGUCGAGCGCGCCUUCGGGUGAGCGGCGGACGGGUUAGUAACGCGUGGGAACGUACCCUUUUCUACGGAAUAGCCUUUGGAAACGAAGAGUAAUACCGUAUACGCCCUUUGGGGGAAAGAUUUAUCGGAGAAGGAUCGGCCCGCGUUAGAUUAGAUAGUUGGUGGGGUAACGGCCUACCAAGUCUACGAUCUAUAGCUGGUUUUAGAGGAUGAUCAGCAACACUGGGACUGAGACACGGCCCAGACUCCUACGGGAGGCAGCAGUGGGGAAUCUUAGACAAUGAGCGCAAGCCUGAUCUAGCCAUGCCGCGUGAGUGAUGAAGGCCUUAGGGUCGUAAAGCUCUUUCGCCUGUGAUGAUAAUGACAGUAGCAGGUAAAGAAACCCCGGCUAACUCCGUGCCAGCAGCCGCGGUAAUACGGAGGGGGUUAGCGUUGUUCGGAAUUACUGGGCGUAAAGCGCACGUAGGCGGAUUGGAAAGUUGGGGGUGAAAUCCCGGGGCUCAACCCCGGAACUGCCUCCAAAACUAUCAGUCUAGAGUUCGAGAGAGGUGAGUGGAAUUCCAAGUGUAGAGGGUGAAAUUCGUAGAUAUUUGGAGGAACACCAGUGGCGAAGGCGGCUCACUGGCUCGAUACUGACGCUGAGGUGCGAAAGUGUGGAGAGCAAACAGGAUUAGAUACCCUGGUAGUCCACACCGUAAACGAUGAA
This 729-nucleotide ribosomal RNA is filed under the name uncultured marine bacterium. RNAcentral's name for it is "bacterial SSU rRNA". It matches the Rfam family "Bacterial small subunit ribosomal RNA", at positions 37 to 813 of the family's 1533-position model. The record is from RNAcentral.